Molecule: ribosomal RNA, 540 nt
Filed under: uncultured bacterium
Lineage: Bacteria
Description: bacterial SSU rRNA
Rfam family: Bacterial small subunit ribosomal RNA
Source: RNAcentral
AAUAGAUACCCUGGUAGUCCACGCCGUAAACGUUGGGCGCUAGAUGUGGGGACCAUUCCACGGUUUCCGUGUCGCAGCUAACGCAUUAAGCGCCCCGCCUGGGGAGUACGGCCGCAAGGCUAAAACUCAAAGGGAAUUGACGGGGGCCCGCACAAGCGGCGGAGCAUGCGGAUUAAUUCGAUGCAACGCGAAGAACCUUACCAAGGCUUGACAUAUACGAGAACGCUCUAGAAAUAGGGAACUCUUUGGACACUCGUAUACAGGUGGUGCAUGGUUGUCGUCAGCUCGUGUCGUGAGAUGUUGGGUUAAGUCCCGCAACGAGCGCAACCCUCGUUCUAUGUUGCCAGCGGUUCGGCCGGGAACUCAUAGGAGACUGCCGGGGUCAACUCGGAGGAAGGUGGGGAUGACGUCAAAUCAUCAUGCCCCUUAUGUCUUGGGCUUCACGCAUGCUACAAUGGCCGGUACAAAGGGCUGCAAUACCGUAAGGUGGAGCGAAUCCCAAAAAGCCGGUCUCAGUUCGGAUUGAGGUCUGCAACUCGA